This 377-nucleotide ribosomal RNA is filed under the name uncultured Peniculida. Its description in RNAcentral is "partial small subunit ribosomal RNA". It matches the Rfam family "Eukaryotic small subunit ribosomal RNA", at positions 30 to 432 of the family's 1831-position model. The record is from RNAcentral. Lineage: Eukaryota; Ciliophora; Oligohymenophorea; Peniculida.
GCUUGUCUCAAAGAUUAAGCCAUGCAUGUCUAAGUAUAAAUAGUAUACAGUGAAACUGCGAAUGGCUCAUUAAAACAGUUAUAGUUUAUUUGAUAAUUGAAAAUUACAUGGAUAACCGUGGUAAUUCUAGAGCUAAUACAUGCUAUCAAGCCCGACUUCUUGAAGGGUUGUAUUUAUUAGAUCUAACCAUCAUUUGGUGAAUCAUAGUAACUGAUCGGACCGUGCGUUAGCGCGGUAAAUCGUUCAAGUUUCUGCCCUAUCAGCUUUCGAUGGUAGUGUAUUGGACUACCAUGGCAGUCACGGGUAACGGAGAAUUAGGGUUCGGUUCCGGAGAGGGAGCCUGAGAAACGGCUACCACAUCUAAGGAAGGCAGCAGG